GAUGAACGCUGGCGGCGUGCUUAACACAUGCAAGUCGAACGAUGAAGCCCAGCUUGCUGGGUGGAUUAGUGGCGAACGGGUGAGUAACACGUGAGUAACCUGCCCUUAACUCUGGGAUAAGCCUGGGAAACUGGGUCUAAUACCGGAUAGGAGCGUCCACCGCAUGGUGGGUGUUGGAAAGAUUUAUCGGUUUUGGAUGGACUCGCGGCCUAUCAGCUUGUUGGUGAGGUAAUGGCUCACCAAGGCGACGACGGGUAGCCGGCCUGAGAGGGUGACCGGCCACACUGGGACUGAGACACGGCCCAGACUCCUACGGGAGGCAGCAGUGGGGAAUAUUGCACAAUGGGCGCAAGCCUGAUGCAGCGACGCCGCGUGAGGGAUGACGGCCUUCGGGUUGUAAACCUCUUUCAGUAGGGAAGAAGCGAAAGUGACGGUA
Molecule: ribosomal RNA, 436 nt
Filed under: uncultured bacterium
Lineage: Bacteria
Description: bacterial SSU rRNA
Rfam family: Bacterial small subunit ribosomal RNA
Source: RNAcentral